UACGGAGGGUGCGAGCGUUGUCCGGAAUCACUGGGCGUAAAGGGCGCGUAGGCGGCGCGAGUAGUCAACGGUGAAAGCCCGGGGCUCAACCCCGGGUCGGCCGUCGAUACUCUCGUGCUUGAGCACUGUAGAGGCAGGUGGAAUUCCGGGUGUAGCGGUGGAAUGCGUAGAGAUCCGGAAGAACACCGGUGGCGAAGGCGGCCUGCUGGGCAGUAGCUGACGCUGUGGCGCGACAGCGUGGGGAGCAAACAGG
Molecule: ribosomal RNA, 253 nt
Filed under: uncultured bacterium
Lineage: Bacteria
Description: partial 16S ribosomal RNA
Rfam family: Bacterial small subunit ribosomal RNA
Source: RNAcentral